UACGGAGGGUGCGAGCGUUGUCCGGAAUCAUUGGGCGUAAAGGGCGCGUAGGUGGCUUCUUAAGCGUGCGGUGAAAGCCUGGGGCUCAACCCCGGGUCGGCCGUGCGAACUGGGGGGCUGGAGCACUGUAGAGGCAGGCGGAAUUCCGGGUGUAGCGGUGGAAUGCGUAGAGAUCCGGAAGAACACCGGUGGCGAAGGCGGCCUGCUGGGCAGUUGCUGACACUGAGGCGCGAAAGCGUGGGGAGCAAACAGG
Molecule: ribosomal RNA, 253 nt
Filed under: uncultured bacterium
Lineage: Bacteria
Description: partial 16S ribosomal RNA
Rfam family: Bacterial small subunit ribosomal RNA
Source: RNAcentral